RNAcentral lists this ribosomal RNA (305 nucleotides) under uncultured bacterium. RNAcentral's name for it is "bacterial SSU rRNA". It matches the Rfam family "Bacterial small subunit ribosomal RNA", at positions 335 to 638 of the family's 1533-position model. The record is from RNAcentral.
CCCCCACGGGACGCAGCAGUGAGGAAUAUUGGUCAAUGGGCGGAGGCCUGAACCGGCCAAGUCGCGUGAGGGAAUAAGGCCCUACGGGUCGUAAACCUCUUUUGCCGGGGAGCAAGGGCCGGGACGCGUCCCGGCCCGGAGAGUACCCGGAGAAAAAGCAUCGGCUAACUCCGUGCCAGCAGCCGCGGUAAUACGGAGGAUGCGAGCGUUAUCCGGAUUUAUUGGGUUUAAAGGGUGCGUAGGCGGGCUUUUAAGUCAGCGGUAAAAAUUCGGGGCUCAACCCCGUCCGGCCGUUGAAACCGGGG